UUGCUAAAUCUGCGCUACAGGCGUACAAAAUGCUUAAAUCGGCUAGUACAAGCCAAGUGCAACAAAAGUGUGGUGGCGACGGAAUGGGAGAACGGAUAGAAAUUAUGGAAGUCGAUGAAAGAGAGCUUGGUAAGGAUACGGCUGGACAUGCAACUGACGAACUUUCGUGCAAAAUCGUUUCUGGUGUCAGUGAAUCUGAAAGUUGGGAGGAAACCGA
Xenia sp. Carnegie-2017 is the source of this 217-nucleotide long non-coding RNA. RefSeq lists it as uncharacterized. Lineage: Eukaryota; Metazoa; Cnidaria; Anthozoa; Malacalcyonacea; Xeniidae. The transcript has 3 exons. The record is from RefSeq and is a predicted model, not a curated record.